Molecule: long non-coding RNA, 1948 nt
Organism: Cercocebus atys (sooty mangabey)
Lineage: Eukaryota; Metazoa; Chordata; Mammalia; Primates; Cercopithecidae
Exons: 3
Source: RefSeq, a predicted model, not a curated record
GGGCAGAUCAAGUCCAAUUAGAGGGAAGCGUGUGGCCCCAGUUUCCGUAGGAGGGUCGGAGCUGCUCCAGAGGCAGCAGGAUUUGCAGGAAGGAAGCCUGUGCACAGAGAAUAAAUAACUUGGCCAAGCUAUUCAGCUAGGAAGUUGUAGAUCCUCAAUUAGGAGUUCAAGGUCUUAAUGGCUAGCCUAUGCGGCCUCUCCUCGUUCAGUCUUUUCAAGGGUUUUGGAGAAGAAUAAAAGAUCAGAUAUUUGAGAGGUUACAAUGUGCCAGCCUCUCUUCCAGGUACUGGAGAUAAAGUGGGACAAGAGAGGUGAGGUCUGGACCCUUGGCACUUUCACCAUAAAAUACACAGGUAAACAUUUGCCUUUAGGGCCCCCCAUAAUUACUUCCACUCUUGCAGAUAAGAGGAUCAGGCCUCUUCAGCUUGUUCGCUGCAGCUGAAAAGCAAAGCCUCUCUGUCAGUAGAGGCAAAAGAUUAAGAAUGCAGAGUCCUAUGGGGCAUUACCACAUGAUUAUGAAUUAAUGCAAUUUUCCAUCUUUUAUUUCCAAUCCAGACAUUGCUUUUGAACUCAGUCAUCUUUUCCCCCUUGCCCACUAGUUGCUUGUGAUACAUCCGCAUCCUCACCCACCCCCAACUCCAGAGGCUGAAACUGACUCUCCUCCUCCCUUUUCCAACUGCUGAUGAAGGUGAGUCAAUGGUAUUACUGGACCUGUGAGCCGAUGCUGUGAAGAGAGGCCAUCUAACACGGACUACGGGGAAUGGUGCCACAGGGGCCUCAGUGCUGCCCUUUGCUCUCAGCAUUUUGCUCACUCAGCAUUGGUGGUAGCCACAUCAGCCUCGGUGAAGGAAGUCCAGAGAGUUGAGCCUGUGCUUCACCUCCAUGCCAGCACCAUGGCACUCACUGUACAUUCAGCAAGCUCCAAGGAAGCUGACAGGAGGCUGGCUGACAUCUACGGGACAGGUCAAUUUGUUCUCUGGAGGGCACUCCAUGAGACGCAAAUAUCUUCACACCCUGUGCCCGUUUCAAGAGACUCUUUCACAUGCCUCCCCCACCUUGACCUCUGUGUCACCACUCUUUCAAUCUUGUUUAUUCCAAAUCCUUAAGGUAGCAGCUGGCCAACACAUUAGCCACCGCUGAUGAGUCAGUGUAGAUCUUACAUCAGGCCAUCUCUUUUUCUUUGCAAAAUAGAAAAGCAGAUGUUCUGCUCAGAAUUCUGUUUGUUAGUAAGAUUUCCCCUUCUGCUGUGUUUCAGGACAUCCCUGGGAGGGACUCUGAUGCAGCAGCCAUCUACUUAUUGCUAGUGCCAGCUUACUUUGCGUGACGUUGACUCCUUUCCCUCAUCUGUUGCCUGGUUACAGGAACCUCCUUGUGAAGCUAUAGGUGUGCACUGAGAGACAUUGAGGCAGUGGGAGAAGGCAUCAUAGAGUCUAAGUUUUCUGCUAGUCUGAGUUUCUUGUGUCUUGUGGACCUGGUGGGCUUAUCUCCUUUAUCAUGUAGAUACCAUUUUCACUUAAUAAUAGAAUGCUCCUACAAAUGCCCAAUUUUAUCAUGUGGUGUGUUAGGCGACACUCAGUUCAUCAGGGUAGCUAGGUUGUGCAGUUACUUUGGUGUUAUGGUGUUAUGGAUUGAAUUGUGACUCCCCAGAAGAUAUAUUAGAAUCCUAACCUUUAGGACUUCAGAGUGUGACAUUAUUUGAAUAUAGGGUUUUUACAGAGUUAAUCAAUUUAAAAUGAAUUCACUAGGGUGGACCCCAAUCCAAUAUGACUGAUAAUCUUAUAAAAAGGAGAGAUUUGGAUACAGAGAGAGACAGAGUGAAGACGAUGUGAAGAAACACAGGAAAACAUGGCAGCUAUAAGCCAAGGAGAAGCUUGCAGUAUGUAUUCAUCUGUUCUCAUGCUGCUAAUAAAGACAUACCUGAGACUGGGUAAUUUAUAAAAGAAAGAGU